This 5510-nucleotide long non-coding RNA is filed under the name Homo sapiens (human). Its description in RNAcentral is "HSALNT0020563". The record is from RNAcentral. Lineage: Eukaryota; Metazoa; Chordata; Mammalia; Primates; Hominidae.
CACUCCAGCCUGGGCGAUAGAGCGAGAUUCUGUCUAAAAAAAAAAAAGAAAAAAAUUCCGUAGACUAGGUGGCUUAUAAACAAUGGGUAUUUAUUCCUCACAGUCCUGGGGCCUGGGAAGUCCAAGGUCAAGGCUGUGGCAGAUUGAGUGUCUGCUGAGGGCCUGCUUCCUGGCUCAUAGAGGCCAUCUUCUCGCUGUGUCCUCACAUGGCAGAAGGGGCAAGAGAACUCUUUUAAAAGGGCACCAAUCCUAUUGAUGAGGGCUUCCACCCUCAUGACCUAAUUGCCUCCCAAAGGCUCCACUUCCAAUGCCAUCACACUGGGGGUUAGGUUUCAGCAUAAUCUGGGGAGGAGCACAGUCUGUAGCAGCCGCCUCCACACUCUUCACCCAUCACUGUAAUAAAAUCACUGAGAAGAGGUCAGGCAGUGCCGUGUUCUCUGGGUCUAGAGCCUCUCCAGGAUCAGGUCCCUCAGCAGGCAGGCAGCUGCUCCCUGUCUGCCUCCUCGGUGCCAAAUCUGGGCUGCCAGUGUGUCUUUCAUUGCCACAGCCCCAGAACUAACAUGAGGCUCAGCAUACAGGAAGGUAGACAGAUACUACUUGAUGGAAAGAAGGAGAGUGCAUUAACUAGGGACUGUCAAAUACUAAACAGUCAAUUGGGGGAGGGGGGUACAGAGUGAGGUCCUGGAAUUCUAGAGUUGGGUCUGUAAUCCCAGCACUUUGGGAGGCUGAGGCGGGUGGAUCACGAGGUCAGGAGAUCGAGACCAUCCUGGCUAACACAGUGAAACCCCGUCUCUACUAAAAAUACAAAAAAUUAGCCAGGCGUGGUGGCAGUAGUCCCAGCUACUCCGGAGGCAGGAGAAUGGUGUGAACCCAGGAGGCGGAGCUUGCAGUGAGCCGAGAUCGCACCACUGCACUCCAGGCUGGGCGACAGAGGGAGACGCCGUCUCAAAAAAAUAAAAUAAAAUAAAAUAAAAUAAAAUAAAAUAAAAUAAAAUAAAAUAAAAUAAAAUAAAAUAAAAUAAAAUAAAAUGAUCUGUUAACACCCUCACUUGUUCACACAGUAGGACAGUAACUUGUCCAAGGUCAAAUGCUACUAGGGGGCAGAAUGGGGCCAAGUGCUUCUGUCACAGGGCAAGCUGCCCCUAAUGUGCAUGGAGAUCUAGUGACAGUAUUGGGUGCCAGAAAGUCCCAGCUCUAAACAGUCCUUCUGCCAAGGGUGAUAAAACCGUCAGGCUGCUGUAAUCAGAUCUGAGCCUGGAAACCAAGGGCUUUUUCCCCAGCAGCACCAGGAGUAACCUGAGAUCCAAGCUCCCUGGGAGAUAUUCCCCACCCCUACGCUGGCUGCCCACUGCCCCAUCUCUCUGUAACUGGCUCUGCAGGGAGGGAUACCCCAGGCCAGAAGGGAAAACCCACGAAAUGUGUGAAGGAUGGGACAUUGCCCAUCCAGUACCCCUCCUGCCCCCUUCUCUUCAAUUCCCAGCCUCAAAUGCAGGCCAGAACCCAGGGCUCCACCCACCUCUGGGAGAUGGGCAGAACCCAGCAUGAUGGGGCAGUGAGGGCUGCUCCCUCCUCCUCUCCCAUCAGGAGUAAUCAUGGACCUCCCUCCUCUAAACUCUAUUUGUGGCUCACGUUCUGCGUUUUCUGCUUUCAUCCUCCCUGACACGUCUAUGCAUGGUUGACUCACACCUGCUUUUUCUUUUCCACCUAAAUUAAGUGGUCCUUAAGGGCAAGGGCCAGAUUGCACUUGUCUUAGACCCCAGGUGGAGAGACCUCAGUAAACAUGACAUUUCUGAGGCUACUUGCAGUUUCCCACUUGCUUUCUAGAGUCUCCCUUCUUCCUGAUUCUCUCCUCACUUCUGUUCUUCUUAGCAAGUUGAUGUUUCUAUGAGGAAUGUGAUUUAAAAUCAAGAAACUACCAAUACAAGGCCCCAAUUGCCUGUGAGCUGGUUUAGUGGUCCCAGAUAUUUAUUUAUUUUUUUGAGACGAAGUUUUGCUCUGUCAUCCAGGCUGGAGUAUAGUGGCAUGAUCCCGGCUCACUGCAACCUCCACCUCCUGGGUUGUGAUUCUCCUGCCUCAGCCUCCCCAGCGGCUGGGACCACAGGUGCACACCACCAAGCCCAGCUAAUUUUUUGUAUUGUUUUGUAGAGACAAGGUUUCGCCAUGUUGCCCAGGCUGGUCUCGAACUCCUGAGCUCAAGCAAUCUGCCCACCUUGGCCUCCGAAAGUGCCAGGACUACAGGUGUGAACCACCGUGCUUGGCUUUGGUCCCAGUUGUUUAAAAUGUGUGCUAGAAACGCUCCUCUGUGCCCCUGAGCUUCCUGUUCCUUAAGAACUUCCAGGCUCCUUUUGUGUGCCCUGUUGAGUGUCAGGACUGAAACCAUUCACACAUGUGAGGAGGACAGCUCCUGUUCCCAGGGAGAAAGGAUGAAUGCACCUGUGAGCCAGAUUCUAGGUGUUGGUACCACAGACAGGCUGACCCUGAUGAUUGACUGGUGGUUCUUUUUACUUCUCACAUCAUCCUUAACACCCACCUGCACACCAAAAGCCUCUGGGCCAGGCCUUUAACUCUGUUUCAAUGUGGGAGAGAUUAGAGAAGAUGCAUGUAUAUACAAGAUACACAGUUCUGAACUUGCAUUGGAAAUAUCAAUAUAAACUCACAAUGUAGUUACAUUUUUCAGCCUUGCACUGUGGCUGAAGCCUAUAAUCCCAGCACUUUGGGAGGCCGAAGUAGGAGGAUCACUUAAGCCCAGGAUUUGGAGACCAGCCUGGGCAAUAUAGUGAAAGACCCCACCUCUAUUUAAAAAAAAAAAAAAGAAAGAAAAAAGAAAACAAAAAACAUUUCCUGGGCACAUGUUCUCAGGGCCUCCUGAGCCUGUGUCACAGGAUAUGAUCCUUACACACAAAAUCACAAAUUUCCUAGCUUUGUCAACGGAAAAAGCCUAAAACCAAUGACCAACUCAGUAACAACAAACACUUCUGAUGGCCAUGGUAUUUAUGGUCUCUAAAUCUCAUUUCCAUAAGAAGCAACCAAAGACCCUUAGAAGAAAUAGCUCAUUCCAGGUCUGUGGCAGUAAAAAUACAAGCUAAUCCUGCACAUCCAGUCAUGCCAGAAAGCAAAGAAGCUUUGAAAGAUCACUUAGUGAAGACUGCAGUGAGCCAUGAACGCACCACUGCACUCCAGUCUGGGCAACAGAGCAAGACUGACUUCAAAACACAACAAAACAAAGACCAUUUAGGAUUGUGUCAAAGGACUCAGAAAUCAACUUGAAGAGGCUCCCACUGGCCAAAGAUGGGGACAAUUUGAACAUGAAUAAGGAUAACAACUGCAAAGGAUUUAAACACAACAAAUAUGUUUAAAUCCAUGAAAACAUCAUGAAACUAAGGAAGAAACCUCUGCCAUCAUCAGGGGAUGCUAGGGAAUCAAUUCAUUAUUUUGAAAACUGGUGCGUGGCUGGGCGCAGUGGCUCAUGCCUGCAAUCCCAGCAUUUUGGGAGGCCAAAGCAUGUGGGUCACCUCAGGUGAGGUGUUCGAGACCAGCUUGGCCGACAUGGUGAAACCUCGUCUCUACUAAAAAUGCAAAAAUUGGCUGGGUGUAGUGGUAGGUGCCUGUAAUCCCAGCUACUUCGGAUGCUGAGGCAGUACAAUUGCUUGAACCUGGGAGGCGGAGGUUGCAGUCAACUGAGAUAGCACCACUGCACUCCAGCCUGGGCGACAGAGCAAGACUCCAUCUCAAAAAAAAAAAAAAAAGAAAGAAAGAAAAAGAAAACUGGUGGGUACAAGGAAGGAGGUAUGCACUUGUUGAAGAAACGAUAGAAUAUCCUAUGAUAGAUAGAUAGAAAGGAUAGACUAUCCUAUGAUAGAUAGAAAUGAUACAAUAUCAUAUGAUAGAUAGAAAUGAUAGAAUAUCCCAUGAUAGAUAGAUGGAAAUGAUAGAAUAUUCUAUGGUAGUUAGAAAUGAUAGAAUAUCCUAUGAUAGAAAUGAUAGGAUAUCCUAUGAUAGAAAUGAUACAAUAUUAUAUGACAGAGAGAAAUGAUAGAAUGUCCUAUGAUAGAUAGAAAUGAUAGAAUAUCCUAUGAUAGAUAGAUAUACAUGAUAUAAUAUCAUUUUACAACCCCUGUGAAAUAAUGGAUCUAAGUAAAGUUAUCAAUGACUGCAAACACCGAAAACAGAAGACAACCACUGGCCUGGGCUACUUUGUGAGACCCCGUCUCUACAAAAAAAUACAAAAAUUAGCCAAGCAGGCCGGGUGCGGUGGCUCAGGCCUGUAAUCCCAGCACUCUGGGAGGCCGAGGUAGGCAGACCACCUGAGGUCAGGAGUUCGAGAUCAGCCUCACCAACAUGGUGAAACCCCAUCUCUAUCAAAAAUACAAAAAUUAGCUGGGCAUGGUGGCGAGCGUUUGAACCUGGGAGGCGGAGGUUGCAGUGAGCCUAGAUCACGCCAUGGCACUCCAGCCUGGGUGACAAGAGCGAAACUUCGUCUAAAAAAAAAAUUAGCCAAGAGUGGUGGUGCACACCUGCAGUCCCACCUGCUCAGAAGGCUGAGAUGGGAGGAUCACCUGGCCCCAGGAGGUCGUGGCUGCAGUGAGCCACCACUCCAGCCUGGGUGACAGAGUGAGACCCUGUCCCAAUAAAAGAAAAAAAAAAGCCCAACAGUAUAUGCUCCCUUAUAUGGAAGUACAAAUCUAUUAAGUAUUCUUGCAAAAACAAACAAACCAAAUCUGUUGUCUCUGACUUUAAUUACCAGUUUACAGAAAAUACAGGGGCAGUAAAAAAAAUUUACCAUGGGAAUACAGAUGGUCUAACAGAAACUCCGUUUAACAAGUAAAGAAAAAAUAAUCGAGGACAUACCUUUGGAUUAAAAGAUUACAAGAGAAAUGGGCACGGUGGCUGAAGCCUGUAAUCCCAGCAAUUUGGGAGGCCAAGGCAGGUGGAUCAUAUGAGGCCAGGAGUUCGAGACCAGCCUGUCCACAACGUGGUGAAACCCCGUCUCUACUAAAAAUACAAAAAAAUUAGCCGGGCGUGCUGGCAGGCACCUGUAAUCCCAGCUAUUUGGAAGGCUGAAGCAGGAGAAUCGCUUGAACCCAGGAGACGGAGGUUGCAGUGACCGAGAUCGAGUCACUGCACUCCAGCCUGGGUGACAGAGUGAGACUCCUUCUCAAAACAAACAAAAAAAGAUUACAAGAGGAUUUAAUAACAAGAUUACAAGAGGAUUUAAGAGACAUAUCAGCCCGUGGCAAUGUAUGGAAUUUAUUCAGAUUCCAAUUUGAAAAAAACUAUACCCCCAAACAUUUAUGAGGCCGGGAAAUGUAAACGGUGACUGGAUAUUUGCUUAUCUUAAAGAAUUACUAUUCUUAGGUAUCAUCAUGGUAGCGUGACUACUUAAAAAAAAAAAGUCCUGGCCGGGCUUGGUGGCUCACGCAUGUAAUCCCCCAGCACUUUGGGAGGCCGAGAUGGGCAGAUCACCCGAGGUUAGGGAUUCCAGACCAGCCUGGCCAACAUGGUGAAACCCC